UUCGGUGCUUUCCAAAAGAACCGGUUUCUCCUCUCCACUGGGCCUCAGACCAGCAAACAAGUCCAUUAGAAGGCAGGCUAUGUAUUCGGGCCUCAUUUCUUCGGUCCAGAUGUAUGGGCUUCGCUUGUCAAUUUGGGCUCUGGCUGCAUAUCCAGAAGCCAGAAAAUGGUUGGGCAUGCAAACAACGAAGUCAAAUACUCUCCAUCAGCAAUGACAACAGAGUUCCACUCA
RNAcentral lists this long non-coding RNA (231 nucleotides) under Setaria italica (foxtail millet). RNAcentral describes it as "long non-coding RNA (SITA_LNC006632)". Lineage: Eukaryota; Viridiplantae; Streptophyta; Magnoliopsida; Poales; Poaceae. The record is from RNAcentral.